RNAcentral lists this ribosomal RNA (467 nucleotides) under uncultured bacterium. Its description in RNAcentral is "partial 16S ribosomal RNA". It matches the Rfam family "Bacterial small subunit ribosomal RNA", at positions 28 to 507 of the family's 1533-position model. The record is from RNAcentral.
GAUGAACGCUGGCGGCGUGCUUAACACAUGCAAGUCGAACGGAAAGGCUCCUGCUUGCCGGGGUACUCGAGUGGCGAACGGGUGAGUAACACGUGGGUGAUCUGCCCUGCACUUCGGGAUAAGCCUGGGAAACUGGGUCUAAUACCGGAUAGGACCACAUUUUGGAUGGUGUGGUGGAAAGUUUUUCGGUGUGGGAUGAGCUCGCGGCCUAUCAGCUUGUUGGUGGGGUAAUGGCCUACCAAGGCGUCGACGGGUAGCCGGCCUGAGAGGGUGUACGGCCACACUGGGACUGGGAGACAGCCCAGACUCGUACGGGAGGCAGCAGUGGGGAAUAUUGCACAAUGGGCGCAAGCCUGAUGCAGCGACGCCGCGUGGGGGAUGACGGCCUUCGGGUGGUAAACACCUUUCGCUAGGGACGAAGCGUUUUUGUGACGGUACCUGGAGAAGAAGCACCGGCUAACUACGUG